Molecule: ribosomal RNA, 497 nt
Filed under: uncultured bacterium
Lineage: Bacteria
Description: partial 16S ribosomal RNA
Rfam family: Bacterial small subunit ribosomal RNA
Source: RNAcentral
GAUGAACGCUGGCGGCGUGCCUAAUACAUGCAAGUCGAGCGAACAGACGAGGAGCUUGCUCCUCUGACGUUAGCGGCGGACGGGAGAGUAACACGUGGAUAACCUACCUAUAAGACUGGGAUAACUUCGGGAAACCGGAGCUAAUACCGGAUAAUAUAUUGAACCGCAUGGUUCAAUAGUGAAAGACGGUUUUGCUGUCACUUAUAGAUGGAUCCGCGCCGCAUUAGCUAGUUGGUAAGGUAACGGCUUACCAAGGCAACGAUGCGUAGCCGACCUGAGAGGGUGAUCGGCCACACUGGAACUGAGACACAGUCCAGACUCCUACGAGAGGCAGCAGUAGGGAAUCUUCCGCAAUGGGCGAAAGCCUGACGGAGCAACGCCGCGUGAGUGAUGAAGGUCUUCGGAUCGUAAAACUCUGUUAUUAGUGAAGUACAAAUGUGUAAGUAACUAUGCACGUCUUGACGGUACCUAAUCAGAAAGCCACGGCUAACUACGUG